AACGAACGCUGGCGGCAUGCCUAACACAUGCAAGUCGAACGAGACCUUCGGGUCUAGUGGCGCACGGGUGCGUAACGCGUGGGAAUCUACCCUUGGGUUCGGAAUAACAGUUAGAAAUGACUGCUAAUACCGGAUGAUGACUUCGGUCCAAAGAUUUAUCGCCCAAGGAUGAGCCCGCGUCGGAUUAGCUUGUUGGUGAGGUAAAAGCUCACCAAGGCGACGAUCCGUAGCUGGUCUGAGAGGAUGAUCAGCCACACUGGGACUGAGACACGGCCCAGACUCCUACGGGAGGCAGCAGUGGGGAAUAUUGGACAAUGGGCGAAAGCCUGAUCCAGCAAUGUCGCGUGAGUGAUGAAGGCCUUAGGGUUGUAAAGCUCUUUUACCCGGGAUGAUAAUGACAGUACCGGGAGAAUAAGCCCCGGCUAACUCCGUGCCAGCCGCCGCCGUAA
RNAcentral lists this ribosomal RNA (449 nucleotides) under uncultured bacterium. Its description in RNAcentral is "partial 16S ribosomal RNA". It matches the Rfam family "Bacterial small subunit ribosomal RNA", at positions 29 to 523 of the family's 1533-position model. The record is from RNAcentral.